RNAcentral lists this long non-coding RNA (824 nucleotides) under Hordeum vulgare. RNAcentral's name for it is "long non-coding RNA (HVUL_LNC020062)". Lineage: Eukaryota; Viridiplantae; Streptophyta; Magnoliopsida; Poales; Poaceae. The record is from RNAcentral.
CUAGAGCUCUUCGAACCUCUUUAAAGCAAAUUUAUCAUAAAACCAAAGCAAAAAAAUAUGAACUGGUGAAAACUCUUUCAAGCAGUUCUCUAACAAGGUUUUAUUUGUUUAUUGGUCCAUCUCCAGAUUUUGUUCAUGUCAAGGACUAUUUUUAGGUUCUUUUCCUAGAUGAAAUGGAAUACCUAUUUAUGUUUAUUGCUAUUAUACAAAAGCAUUCUAGGGAUCUGCUAGUAAAGAUGGACGAAAAAAGGCAAAGGUAUAUGUUUAUCCUUGAACGAGGCUCAAUAUCUUGGUGUAGUAAGUAAGAAUAUAGUUUACCUUUCUUCUACCAUGAUAUCUGAAUAUACAGCAUGCACGACUGCAGUUCAGGAAGUAAUAUGGUAGAGAAUUUAACCCUACAUGAGUUGAGGAUACACAAAACAUUUUUUUUACUUUGCUAGACUUUUGAACUUAGAACACUAACAAGUCAAUUUUUUUUAUUUUUUUAUUUUAAUAAGUAAAGCAAGUUACUUAAUCUUUAGUGUUAUGUUUAUACCAUAUACCAAUGGCAACUCUUAGUACAACAUUCCCUCGGAACAAACAACAUUGGGCCAGCCAGCUAUCGUUUGCAUGCAUUGGGAUCUUAAAAGCUACUCCCUCCGUCCCAUAUCUUACUUUUUGUUAGUAUGAGUUAGAGUAUAGUGUUUUUUCUUUAAAUUAUCGGUCUUGUUUUCCGAAAUGUUUGUCCCGCAUUUAAAAAUAUUUAUCAUCUACUUCACAAAAUCCCAUAAUGUAUUUGAAAUAAUGUUCGCCGUGCAUAAAAAUUUCAUCACAUUUUAAAAGGG